Caenorhabditis japonica is the source of this 97-nucleotide non-coding RNA. The record is from Rfam. Lineage: Eukaryota; Metazoa; Nematoda; Chromadorea; Rhabditida; Rhabditidae.
AGCCGAUUCUCGAUCUCUUUGGUUGUACAAAGUGGUAUGAGUACUAUAAGAGGCAAUGCAUACCGCUUUUCAACUGAAGGAAUCGAGUGUUUGGCGG